ACGCUCGACACCUACGGGGGCAGCAGUGGGGGAUAUUGCACAAUGGGGGGAAACCCUGAUGCAGCAACGCCGCGUGAAGGAAGAAGGUCUUCGGAUUGUAAACUUCUGUCCUCAGGGAAGAUAAUGACGGUACCUGAGGAGGAAGCUCCGGCUAACUACGUGCCAGCAGCCGCGGUAAUCUGAGGCGGGCGUGGACAAGGC
This 201-nucleotide ribosomal RNA is filed under the name uncultured bacterium. Its description in RNAcentral is "partial 16S ribosomal RNA". It matches the Rfam family "Bacterial small subunit ribosomal RNA", at positions 328 to 538 of the family's 1533-position model. The record is from RNAcentral.